UGGCGGACGGGUGAGUAACACGUGGGUAAUCUGCCUUCGGGUGGGGAAUAACCCAGGGAAACUUGGGCUAAUACCGCAUAAUGCAGCGGCACCUAAUGGUGAUUAGUUGUUAAAGCGGGGGAUCGCAAGACCUCGCGCCUGAAGAGGAGCCUGCGGCGGAUUAGCUAGUUGGUAAGGUAAUGGCUUACCAAGGCGACGAUCCGUAACCGGCCUGAGAGGGCGGUCGGUCACACUGACACUGACAUACGGGUCAGACUCCUACGGGAGGCAGCAGUCGGGAAUUUUGGGCAAUGGGCGAAAGCCUGACCCAGCAACGCCGCGUGAAGGAUGAAAUCCCUCGGGAUGUAAACUUCGCAAGAACGGGAAGAAUUAGUAGGGGUCAAUACCCCCUAUGAUGACGGUACCGUUUGUAAGCUCCGGCUAACUCCGUGCCAGCAGCCGCGGUAAU
RNAcentral lists this ribosomal RNA (448 nucleotides) under uncultured bacterium. RNAcentral describes it as "bacterial SSU rRNA". It matches the Rfam family "Bacterial small subunit ribosomal RNA", at positions 96 to 524 of the family's 1533-position model. The record is from RNAcentral.